Molecule: ribosomal RNA, 216 nt
Filed under: Glomeromycotina sp.
Lineage: Eukaryota; Fungi; Glomeromycota
Description: partial small subunit ribosomal RNA
Rfam family: Eukaryotic small subunit ribosomal RNA (bases 44-216)
Source: RNAcentral
GGGUCAGUAGGUUGGUCGUGCCACCGGUACGUAAUGGUCACACUGAUUCCUCCUUCCUCAACAACCGUAAUGCCAUUAAUUUGGUGUUGCGGGGAAACAGGACUGUUACUUUGAAAAAAUUAGAGUGUUUAAAGCAAGCUAACGCUUGAAUACAUUAGCAUGGAAUAAUGAAAUAGGACGAUCGAUCCUAUUUUGUUGGUUUCUAGGAUUGACGUA